GGUUUGGUGGUUCAGUGGUAGAAUUCUCACCUUCCAUGUGGGAGACUCAGGUGCAAUUCCCACCCAGCCA
Molecule: transfer RNA, 70 nt
Filed under: Loxodonta africana (African savanna elephant)
Lineage: Eukaryota; Metazoa; Chordata; Mammalia; Proboscidea; Elephantidae
Rfam family: tRNA
About the family: Transfer RNA (tRNA) molecules are approximately 80 nucleotides in length. Their secondary structure includes four short double-helical elements and three loops (D, anti-codon, and T loops).
Source: Rfam by way of RNAcentral